This 253-nucleotide ribosomal RNA is filed under the name uncultured bacterium. RNAcentral describes it as "partial 16S ribosomal RNA". It matches the Rfam family "Bacterial small subunit ribosomal RNA", at positions 524 to 776 of the family's 1533-position model. The record is from RNAcentral.
UACGGAGGGUGCAAGCGUUGUCCGGAAUUAUUGGGCGUAAAGGGUUCGUAGGCGGUUUGUCGCGUCGGGAGUGAAAACCUCGGGCUUAACUCGGGGCUUGCUUUCGAUACGGGCAGACUGGAGGUAUGCAGGGGAGAACGGAAUUCCUGGUGUAGCGGUGAAAUGCGCAGAUAUCAGGAGGAACACCGGUGGCGAAGGCGGUUCUCUGGGCAUGAACUGACGCUGAGGAGCGAAAGUGUGGGGAGCGAACAGG